Molecule: ribosomal RNA, 253 nt
Filed under: uncultured bacterium
Lineage: Bacteria
Description: partial 16S ribosomal RNA
Rfam family: Bacterial small subunit ribosomal RNA
Source: RNAcentral
UACGUAGGGUGCGAGCGUUGUCCGGAAUUAUUGGGCGUAAAGGGCUCGUAGGCGGUUUGUCGCGUCGGGAGUGAAAACACCGGGCUUAACUCGGUGCUGGCUUUCGAUACGGGCAGACUAGAGGUAUUCAGGGGAGAAUGGAAUUCCCGGUGUAGUGGUGAUAUGCGUAGAUAUCGGGAGGAACACCAGUGGCGAAGGCGGUUCUCUGGGCCUUACCUGACGCUGAGACGCGAAAGCGUGGGGAGCGAACCGG